This is a non-coding RNA of Bos taurus (domestic cattle), 72 nucleotides long. The record is from Rfam. NCBI's taxonomy places the organism in Eukaryota, Metazoa, Chordata, Mammalia, Artiodactyla, Bovidae.
UCCCUGGUGGUCCAGUGGUGAGGACUCAGCACUCUCAUAGCCGAGGCCCAGGUUCAAUCCCUGGUCAGGGAG